RNAcentral lists this transfer RNA (95 nucleotides) under Gemmatimonadota bacterium. Its description in RNAcentral is "tRNA-Arg". It matches the Rfam family "tRNA". From Rfam's summary of the family: Transfer RNA (tRNA) molecules are approximately 80 nucleotides in length. Their secondary structure includes four short double-helical elements and three loops (D, anti-codon, and T loops). Further hydrogen bonds mediate the characteristic L-shaped molecular structure. tRNAs have two regions of fundamental functional importance: the anti-codon, which is responsible for specific mRNA codon recognition, and the 3' end, to which the tRNAs corresponding amino acid is attached (by aminoacyl-tRNA synthetases). tRNAs cope with the degeneracy of the genetic code in two manners: having more than one tRNA (with a specific anti-codon) for a particular amino acid; and 'wobble' base-pairing, i.e. permitting non-standard base-pairing at the 3rd anti-codon position. The record is from RNAcentral. Lineage: Bacteria; Pseudomonadati; Gemmatimonadota.
GGGUCCGUAGCUCAGUUGGAUAGAGCGCUUGCCUCCGGAGCAAGACGUCGCGCGUUCACGCGCCCGCAAGCGGGCACCCGGCGCCGGGCCCACCA